UGCUCAAGGAGAAAAAACAGUACAUGGGAAAAAAAAAAGAAAAUAAAUAACAGAGGAGAUACAACCUCAGUCAUGUGUUACAUGAUCUGAUAUAUUACCAUAUGAACCUAAACUCCCUCCAAUUCAUCCAUUCUAAUUUCAGUUUUGCCGCCCUUGAACUUAGCCACAGAAACGACAGUGCUUUUACCUCCCCCAUCAUCUUCGAUAACUGACAAGCUUUGUUGUUGAAGAUUUUGUCAUUGCGUGCUUUCCACAACGACCAGCAACCCGUAGCCGAGAUCAUGUAAACCGCCUAUUGCUUAUUCCCCUCCAUCUGCAGAUUGUUGAUGUAGUCUAACAGCUCAACCACACUUAAUAAAUAUUAACUAUACAGGUAAUUGUUGUGUUUAUAUCAAAUGAAUAUUAACUAUACAGGUAAGUUCAACGACUCUUUACAACAUAUAUUUCUUUGCAAAAGAUAUUAUUUGCAUGUUCCUAGCGUGAUAAGUAACGGUUAUAUCAAAUUUGCCUUGAGUUUUAUUCACUAGCGGACCUAGAAAUUCUUUUCUGAAAAUGCGAAAAAAAUUAAAAAAUUUUAGAUCCCUAGCUAUAUAAAAAAAAUCAGUUCAUAACGAGUCGGAUCGGAUCAGGUCGGGUCAUGUAAAACAUGUAAACAUAAACAAACAAAGUUUCGUAGGUCGGAUCAAAUCGGGUCGAGUUGGGUCAAUUUCAAUUUUGAAACAAUCAAUGUUGUUUGGUAUAGAGAAAACAAUGUGGUUUGGAAUUGUUUGUAUUGAAAUUGUAUUGUACAAAAAAUAGGGUUAUACAAAGAUGGUGUUUAUAUAGCCCAACAUAUUACACACUAGUCCAUAUACUAUUUGUUUCCUUAUUUCCGACAAUCAAACCAUAUUUCUUAACUUCCUAUUACAUUAACAAACAAAGUUCCAAGUAAAAUAGUAAACAAUAUAAGUAAAAAAACCCUCACAAGUAACUAAAGUAACAACAAAAAAACAUCAGAAUUCAAACCCUACCUACUUCUAUUUACCUUAACCAUUAAAUAAAACAACAAAAAAACUUAUCUAAGACAUAGCUUAAUCUUUAAUUAGAAAAAUCCGACAAAAAAAGUAGUACAACGCAUUUCCUCUUGAGAAAUCGCGCCAUAACUUCUCUAUUCAUGGUUCUUAUCACAUAUAAAUCGCUCCAUAAGUUCAUAAAACAACACUAAACACUUAAACAAAAUAAAUAAUAAUGUUCAACCAAUACCAUAGACUAUAAUUUUCAAUUUUAAUUUUCAAAUAUUCAAGCCCUAGUUUUAAAUGUUGAUUAGUAAUCAUAUAAACAAACAAAACUUACACUACAAGAAUUUUGAGCUUUAGUGGCGACAGUAUUAGUGGCGACUGCUAAUAUGUCGUCGCUAAAGGUGGAUCCGUGUCAUGGGACCAUUAACCGCUUAUUGGCCGUUGGAUGAAGACCUGAUCCAACGAUCUGGGAAAUAUCUCAUUUGAGUUGCCACUAAAGGGUUUUAAGCGGGAUAAAGUCCUUAUCCAUUCCCUUUCCCUCCAUUCUACCCUACACAUCUCCACUCACCAUCUCCAGAGCCCUAAUAUGGUUCCAAGUUAGGGUUUCUGGUGUUUGUGAGCCCCGUUCUAAGCUGUGCUCCGUCCACCCCACUCAAAACACUAAAGAUUCCGGCCGCCUCCACUCAAUUUCUACCACCUCCGGCGACAUACACGGUUAGGGUUCUUUAUAUUGUUGUUUAUUUUAGUUAUAUAGUUAUAUUUCUUGAUUUUUUAUAGUGUUUGUAGGUCACCUCCACUAAAAUGCAACCACUUCCGGUCAUCUCUGCUGAAAUCCGGUCACCUCUACUGAAAUCCGGCCAUCUCCACUGAAAUCCGAUCACCUCUACUGAAAUCCAGCCAUCUCCACUGAAAUCUGGUCACCUCUGGGGUCACACUGACCAGGUAUUCAUGUUGCUGCACUAUUCCAGAGUUGGUUCGAAAACCCGGAUUUUAGAAAUGAACUUCAAAACUUUUUGAGUUCAAGUUACCCGACAAAGUUUGGAAGCGAAGAUGUUGAUGGUGAAGAAGCGGAUGAUGGCAGCGAUGAUGACAUGGAUAUGAUUUAAAAUUAUGGCAUUUUAGAUGUUAAGUAGGUUUAUGACGUAUUAGUGACUUAAAACGAAUUCGGAUUGUGACGUUUAUGUAGUUUACGCUUAUGUAGUUUAUGCUUAUGUAGUUUAUGUUUGGUUGGUUUUUUGUGGCUCAUGAACUAGAAAUGUACAGGUUUUAAUAUGAAAAAAAACUGGAA
RNAcentral lists this long non-coding RNA (2286 nucleotides) under Helianthus annuus (common sunflower). Its description in RNAcentral is "hypothetical non coding rna". Lineage: Eukaryota; Viridiplantae; Streptophyta; Magnoliopsida; Asterales; Asteraceae. The record is from RNAcentral.